GCCAUACCAAUCCAAAGACCUACCCUAAGCUCCUUGACAAACUGGUAUGCAAGAAGAAGAAGGUUUUCAAGGUUAAAGCUCACCCUGGCUCAAAUCCAUGCUCUAUUAUACAGUUCAGUGAAAGUGAACAGCUGUUGGGUAAUCUUGAGAAGCAAUUUGGAUUGGAGGAGGAGAGUGAAAUUAAGAAUGUUGCUGGAGAAGCAGUCCUUGCAUUAGAAGCUGUUUCAGAAACCAAAGACCUAUCACUCAUUCCAUCUGUAUGUAUUUAUUAAGAACUUUAACCUGAGAUUAUCAAAAUUAAAUUAUUGACAGUAGCUUAAAAUACUAACUUUUUGCAACAACUUUAUAGCUUUCUCCAUGUGGUGAAAAUGAACCAAGUUUUGCUAUGUCCACACCUCCUGCCAAAAGAUUGUCUCAAGAUGAAUCUGAUUCUGCUACAAAGCCUGGUGCUGAAGAUAUUCAGCCAACCCAACUUUCAUCCACUAAGUUUGCCAACAACCGAAAGUAUGCAAAGACACCUAAGCUUGAGAAGAAGUAGGUCUUACCAGGAACAUCUUUUGAAGGACAAUAUCUAUGUUAAAUAUGUAGAAUGCUUAACCUAUUUUGUGUCUAACCAACAAUGACUAUUUUGUUGUCAAUCAGAGUACAAGCCAUGGCUAACUCUUGAUGCACAAUCUAAAGCAUCUAUUAUUUGUUGUUUA
Medicago truncatula (barrel medic) is the source of this 701-nucleotide long non-coding RNA. RefSeq lists it as uncharacterized. The record is from RefSeq and is a predicted model, not a curated record. The transcript is spliced from 2 exons. Lineage: Eukaryota; Viridiplantae; Streptophyta; Magnoliopsida; Fabales; Fabaceae.